Molecule: long non-coding RNA, 921 nt
Organism: Belonocnema kinseyi
Lineage: Eukaryota; Metazoa; Arthropoda; Insecta; Hymenoptera; Cynipidae
Exons: 3
Source: RefSeq, a predicted model, not a curated record
AAAAAAAAUGUUAAAUAAUGUGAUGUUAAGUCAAUUGUGUGAGGUUAUGUUUAUAAAUUAUAAUAAAUAUUUUACUUACCGCCAAAGAUGAAUUGAAGUGUCACUGUGUACAAAAGGUGCCUGCUUCACGAUUUUAAUGGUCUUGAAAGAGAUCACUGAGCACGUACACUAUUCGUCCAAUAAGACGACCUCCGGAAAGACGACCUGCUCAACAUAACGAUGGGUGAGCGCUCAAUGAAACGACGGCGGAAGCCGUACCUCUAUCUCCUCCACUUUCUUCUCUGCAAUACACACGAUCUAAUGUUUCACUAAGCACUCAAUAUUGGUGAGCUGUACUGUCCGCAUAGAAUAGUCUACAACAAUGAUGAAGAACGUCCCAUACAACGACGUCCAAUACUCAUUUAUCCACAUAUAUUAUUUCGCGAAUUUUUAGAUAAACGUCUUUCAGGUACUAUGCAGGUUUUCAUUAGACAGAAGGUCAGCAUUAGGUCAGCGUUUUCGAUUUUCCGACCACUGUGCGCCGCCACAACUGUAACUUCGAAACUAUUCACUGAAUCUUAUAGAAGUUUUUCAGAAAUAAAGGGCUCAUUUAAGGCUGUUGAUCUCCGGUAGGCCGAAUUCCGCAGUCCGUUUAGUUUUUUCUUUAACAUUGCGCUCUCUGGUUUCACAUGUGAAGCUAGCACCGCCACACACAUAACCUUAAAACCAGAGCUGCAAUCAAUCCGAGAAUGUUAUAAAAUGGUCUAAAACACCUAAAAAGGAAAAGGUCAAUCGAAAUUUUUUAAAGUGUUUAUUAAAAAAACUGUGCUAGUUAGCGAUCAAAUUUCAAAGUUCUCUAGACGAAACUUUCAAAUACUCAUUAAAAAUUAUAUUUUGUUUUAUUUAAAAAAGUCGUGAAAUGGUCUAAAACGCGAAGAAAUG